Dermacentor silvarum is the source of this 3228-nucleotide long non-coding RNA. RefSeq lists it as uncharacterized. The transcript has 3 exons. The record is from RefSeq and is a predicted model, not a curated record. NCBI's taxonomy places the organism in Eukaryota, Metazoa, Arthropoda, Arachnida, Ixodida, Ixodidae.
UCUUGACAUAGACGCGUCUGCUUGUUCGGGUCGUCUGUCUGAUAAAGAAAGAAAAGUUCAUGAAGCACAUAAACUUGCUAUUCAGCCUUCUUUUCAAAGCUGUGGACAUGGUUAUAUUGCUGCAUCAUGUAUUGCUACGAGAUCGUCCCUGACGCCCCAUAUGCUUCCCAGUCCAGUGAUAUCGUGCACGUUACAUGACUGAAGCAGUAUCACCCUCCCAGUGAUGACAUUUCGACGCUCCGAGAUGUCGCUUCUGCCGCCGGGGGAUUAUGCUACACGCGUGCUGUGUUUGGUUGCUUGAAUGAGGCGCGCAGCCGCCAUCACUCGAGAAAAGAGAAGGAAGAACGAACUGGGCUCGUGCUGUGAAUCCAACCGGUCAGCACUGCAACCGUUGUUGUAAAUAUAAUUGUGUAAAUAGUUGCUCGGUCUGAUUGACUCGUCCUUCGUGUAACAAUAUUGUAUAGUUGAAUCAAGGAAUUAUGCCGAUUACAGCAUUCACCAUAUAUGUUCUUAAAUGUCUUGGCUUCAUUGCAGAUUUAUUGCAUUAAUUCAACUUCAUCCUUGUGUACAUGCUACAGUUACGUAAAGCAAUAAGGCUUCCAAAGCUAGGUAGUGCUGCAGACAGUUGUGGACAAAAGAGACACAAAUUCAGCUAUUUUUUAUGCCACAUGGUAGCAGUGCCAAGGAAAUAGACUAUUUUCUUUUUUUUUUUUUAAUUGCUGGCGAGUGUUUGGUGUUCUUUGCUUUAAUUUGUAGUUAUGGAUCUAUUACUUAGGUCAUAACACACAACCUUGACCUACUGUAGUCCUAACGUGGCAAAUUAUUCAUUUUUGUGUGCUCUCUUUGUUGUUUCUUUUCACAGCUGUAAUUAAAAAUAUGGUUAUGUCGAAAGAUUUAUAUACUGCACAUAAUUGUGGAUGUUCCUUUUUGUGUGAUUUUAAUGCUGCCAUACAAGAGAGCUUGUUGCCGUCUCAAAUGCACUGUUUGUCGUCACCAGGAGGGUAGGCCUCAUCAGGCACACACAGCUUUUAGCCUCCCUCCUGAUGUGGUGAUGUGGCGAUGCGGUAUGUGAAAAGUGAAUCUCGCAAUAAACUUUCAAACUCUUUCAUUAACAUCAAUCAAUUUGAUAGACAGUUUUGCUAUGCGUUGUUAUACAUUUCUGUUGGAAUUCUUCUGCUAGCAACAUCAUGCACCCUCUGAAAUGAUGACUGUACUUUAGCUAUUUGUCAAAUUUGGCAAUUUUUGGCACAUUGGGGAGUCUGGGAAAAUGAAACUUUCACUGGAACUAUCGUCAAUAUUAGGCUCCGGUGCUCUCAGCACUUCUUCAAUAAAAAGACUGAAAAUUUGAGCUUCGGUCAAUUCAGCGGGAUCAUUUCUAAAUGACAGCAGUAGCGAAGACACAGAAGCUUUUCUCGGGUUGUCAUUUUUCUGAUUAGAUAUAUAGGACGUUUUAACGAUGUCUCCAACAAUGGUAGAUGCUCAUGAGUGCGUGCUAUUUUUUAAUUUUGUUCGAGUAAUAUCAUGUGCAACUUUAUUUUACCCCCUGUGUGUUGCUUUUAUCCAUCAGCGACAGCAUAUGUACAAAUUAUUACGAGCAAUACUUCCUGUUGUGUGGGGUUUUCACCCACGCAGGAGCACUCAGUCUAUUACAGACCGGCCUUCGACCAAACCUUGACUAGCUGUCUAAGCUCUUAUAUUUUGAACACCGCCUGUUCACGUGCCCUUAUUCAUUACUGUACAAUAUUGUGCAACAUUCCACAUUACUGUACAGCAUUGUACAGCAACUGAACAAUGCAUGUGGAAGCUCCAGUGCCAGCUGAAUCCCCACUAGACCACCUUGCUUGCCCAGAAAAGCUGAUCGAACAGAAUAAUCAAGUAUGAAGAUUCUUCUGCAUGCUCCCUGACCUAACACCCAUUGCUUGGCGAGUCUAAAGAAUGCUGUAAAACAGGAACCAUGGGCCUGUUGCAAUUAGUAAAAACAGAUGCUCCUUGUACAAUUGGAACUUACCCGUUUUCACAUUUGCAAAGCUACUGCUUUCCUGCAUAGCACAAAAAUCACUACGGCUAGUACUGAUGCCAAUACAACUGCGUAACAAUAAAUCAGCAAUAAAGCAAUAAAUCUGCGUAACAAUCUUUUUGCAUGGUAGGCCUCAUCAGGCACACACAGCUUUUAGCCUCCCUCCUGAUGUGGUGAUGUGGCGAUGCGGUAUGUGAAAAGUGAAUCUCGUAAUAAACUUUCAAACUCUUUCAUUAACAUGCCUAUAGAAAUCAAUCAAUUUGAUAGACAGUUUUGCUAUGCGUUGUUAUACAUUUCUGUUGGAAUUCUUCUGCUAGCAACAUCAUGCACCCUCUGAAAUGAUGACUGUACUUUAGCCAUUUGUCAAAUUUGACAAUUUUUGGCACAUUGGGGAGUCUGGGAAAAUGAAACUUUCACUGGAACUAUCGUCAAUAUUAGGCUCCGGUGCAGAAGUUAGGAUCUAAGAGCCAGGUGCAUAUUUUGUAGAUUUCAGAUUUUUUUAUUCUGAGCACUUAUAUAAAAAUAGCACAUUCCUUGAGACAUUUUUUUGAAGUUUCACAUAAAAAUUCUCAAAAAUUGAAUUGUCUGACCAAUUAUUACUACUAUACAUCCAUUCAAAACACCAGUGAUCAGGCUAUAAUUUUAUGUAUCGCAGUAUUUGUUGAGACUAUGUCCUGAAAUCAAAUGUUAAAACAUAAAAACACCGAAAAUGAGACAUUUCUCAUGGUAACGAAAGAGUUAACCCUGUGGCUAGCUCACAUGCCUCACACAGAGCAAAUAAAGCCUUGACCACGGGCUUUUAGCUUCAGUCACUGUCAAAGUAUGAUAAAUAUUGCAGCAGUUACUCGCGCUUCAUUUUGAAAUCAAAUUAUUGCUUUAUAUGUAACAGUGAUAUUAUCUCCCUAAAGUGAGAAUUGAAACACCAGCAGCUUUCUGAUACACUAUACAUUAUUCAAUUCCUUGUUGCAAUGAUCAUUUUGCUUACCAAGUGAAUUAUGUGUGUCAUAGUACUUCUCAUUGGGGUGCAAACAUAAAUAUAUGUAAUGUCCGUAAGAAGAUGCAAGCACUUGUAAAAUAAUUUGCAUUUGAAAAGUUGUUUUAUGCUAAUUAUGCUGUUGGAAACAAGAUAAUGCAGGAACAUAUGUCGCCUUUCCUGUCACUCAUACACAUUUGUUUGGGACACACAUGUGUAUUCCUAUUACAGAGAGGUG